This 201-nucleotide unclassified non-coding RNA is filed under the name plant metagenome. Its description in RNAcentral is "partial contains small subunit ribosomal RNA, internal transcribed spacer 1, and 5.8S ribosomal RNA". The record is from RNAcentral.
UCUCCGUUGGUGAACCAGCGGAGGGAUCAUUAUCGAGUUUAUAACUCCCAAACCCUAUGUGAACUUACCACUUGUUGCUUCGGCGCGCGCUUCGGCGCCGCCGAGGACACUUAAACUCUUUGUUUUUAUAAGCAUUUCUGAGUGGCCGAAAGGCAAAAUACAAAUGAAUCAAAACUCUCAACAACGGAUCUCUUGGUUCUG